ACCGGAGGAAGGUGGGGAUAGACGUCAAGUCCUCAUGGCCUUUAUGCCCAGGGUUGCACACGUCCUACAAUGGGAUGGUACAGAGCGAUGCGAGACCGCGAGGUGGAGCAAAUCGCAGAAAGCUUCCCUCAGUUCGGAUUGCAGGCUGCAACUCGCCUGCAUGAAGCUGGAAUCGCUAGUAAUCGCGCAUCAGCUAUGGCGCGGUGAAUGUGUUCCUGAGCCUUGUACACACCGCCCGUCAAGUCAUGGGAGCUGGUAGUACCCGAAGUCCGCUUAGCCAACCGCAAGGAGGCGGCGGCCGACGGUAAGACCGGUGACUGGGACUAAGUCGUAACAAGGUAACCGUA
RNAcentral lists this ribosomal RNA (347 nucleotides) under uncultured bacterium. Its description in RNAcentral is "bacterial SSU rRNA". It matches the Rfam family "Bacterial small subunit ribosomal RNA", at positions 1162 to 1504 of the family's 1533-position model. The record is from RNAcentral.